Euleptes europaea (tarantolino) is the source of this 137-nucleotide small nucleolar RNA. RefSeq annotates it as small nucleolar RNA SNORA51. The record is from RefSeq and is a predicted model, not a curated record. Lineage: Eukaryota; Metazoa; Chordata; Lepidosauria; Squamata; Sphaerodactylidae. The transcript has a single exon.
UGUCUCUCAGUGCUUACCGCAGGCAGCUGGCCCUGAGCGCUGACUGCAUAGGAACGAGAGAUACAGAAUCCACCACCCUACGUGCACCACAGCCGGGCUGCUUCUCGCCCGGGCUGUAUUGUGAACAGGGAACAGCU